This 23-nucleotide small nuclear RNA is filed under the name Arabidopsis thaliana (thale cress). RNAcentral describes it as "snRNA_03850". The record is from RNAcentral. Lineage: Eukaryota; Viridiplantae; Streptophyta; Magnoliopsida; Brassicales; Brassicaceae.
GGGGUGUUAUUGGUUUGUGAUUU